GACGGGGCCCGCACAAGCGGUGGAGUAUGUGGUUUAAUUCGACGCAACGCGCAGAACCUUACCUAGACUUGACAUCCCGGGGAUUUUCUGGAAACAGAGAAGUGCUUUAGCAAUAAAGAACCCGGUGACAGGUGCUGCAUGGCUGUCGUCAGCUCGUGUCGUGAGAUGUUGGGUUAAGUCCCGCAACGAGCGCAACCCUCGCCUUUAGUUGCCAUCAUUCAGUUGGGCACUCUAGCGAGACUGCCGGUAAUAAACCGGAGGAAGUGGGGAUGACGUCAAAUCAUCAUGCCCCUUAUGACCUGGGCUACACACGUGCUACAAUGGUUGGUACAACGAGUUGCGAGUCGGUGACGGCGAGCUAAUCUCUUAAAGCCAAUCUCAGUUCGGAUUGUAGGCUGCAACUCGCCUACAUGAAGUCGGAAUCGCUAGUAAUCGCGGAUCAGCACGCCGCGGUGAAUACGUUCCCGGGCCUU
RNAcentral lists this ribosomal RNA (473 nucleotides) under uncultured Streptococcus sp. RNAcentral describes it as "bacterial SSU rRNA". It matches the Rfam family "Bacterial small subunit ribosomal RNA", at positions 916 to 1381 of the family's 1533-position model. The record is from RNAcentral. Lineage: Bacteria; Bacillati; Bacillota; Bacilli; Lactobacillales; Streptococcaceae.